UUCGAGGACAGCGUGGAACCCGGCCAGAAUCGGUUCAUCGCGAGCAAGUUAUACGUAACGGGCCGAUAAAAGGGGCUCUGCCAAAAUGUAGACCCGCACCUCUCCUUCCGGGACAGGGAUUUCCAUUCGAUACGAAGAAAAGCCGGCCCAUUGUACGAUUAUUCCGGAUUAUUCUUGGACGAGUCGCGCCCAACUCGUGGUUAGGCAUAAAAGAUAAAGCCGCGGUUUUUGUCGACUUAACUUGGUUGUCCGGAGGGACAGAGUUUUUCUUCGAUGUUUUAAUCAGUGAUAGCACCGUGGAAGAAUGAUACUGUUAUUCAACUUGGUUCGGGUGUAAUGGUCAAUUAAUUAUUAUUAGUGUCAUAUUUUAAUUAAUCGAAGGGAAUAAUAGAAUGGAUAUAAUAUAUCGAGAGAGCUAAUCACGAAGAGAUAAUUGAAAUUUUUGGAGAAUCGAGGAAUAAAAUUUAUGAACAGUGCCAAAAAAAAUUUAACUCUUCAGGAAUCAGAAGCAUGAGGAUGAAAAACAAAAAAAGAAUAUUUAAAUGAAGAUUCAGCUUAUUCUUCGAAUAAUUCUUUUUCGCAUACCAUGAAGACGACGAUCCAUGUGAUAUAAUAGAUUUAUACAAAAUUCAAUUUCUAAGAUUUACGCGCUUAUGAGUUUUUUCAUCAGUCACUAUUAAGUCAAGCAUCAUUUAUGCCGGGAAGAAUCUCCCUCCGCCAUUGCACCAAGGAGAAGAUAUAUUGCCAGCAUCUAUAAUGCAACCUUGAAUGAAUAACAUAACCUUUAUUGAAUGCUCAACGAGCAUCAAGAUUGGAUUUACGACAAGCUUAAGAUUCAACAUCAGUUCCAGUGGAAGAUAUAACGUAUAUGGUUAAAUGACGACUUAAUCUCACUUAAAGAUUACUUGGAAGAGAAAAUAACGUUGUACAAAUCAAUCAUUUUGAUUAUAUUGAAAGCUUAAUAUAUAAUGUAAUGGGUAUGAUACAAUGAAAAAAUUCUUUGGAUUUGGAAAUUUCAAGACAGAAUUGCAAGCUAAACAUUUUAUAAUUUCAAAAUUUUUAUCAGUCCAUCUCUUCCAUUAUUAAGAUAUUUAAGAUAUUUAUAUCAUCUUUUUAAAAUAAUAUUCUAUUUGAAGAAUUGUCGCAUAUGUAAUUUCUAUGACUAAAGAUAUCGAUUCUAAAAAAAAAAAGAGAGAAAAAAGAAUAAGUAGGAGGAAAAAUGGUAUUCUCGAUAGCAAUUAAAAAAGUUUCACGUGGCCAAAAAAUAAAUCAACGGCUAAGCUUGAAACGCUUACCUGCAUACGUAUCAAGGAAAUCAAUUUCAUCGUUCGAAUCUUAUCAAACGCAAUUGGUUACGAUAAGAACGUAUUGCUGCACGAUAGACGAUUUACGAUUGGGACGCGAACAAUGAAUCACCGAGAUGUACGUGCACAUUGUUCGGAUACAAAAGAUGUCACCGAUGUGAACCACAAACGAAAACCAUAAUAACAAAAAGGCGGGAAAUUCAAAAUUCCUACGAGAAACAAAUCGAUUCGAAAAGAAUGGAUAAUCAUUAUGUCAAAGAGCGUACAUACCUAAGCGAAUUGUGAAACUUGUGUAUUAAAGCGUAUCGACAUCGAAUAACAAGCGCAUAACAGGCAAAGAGAGCGCUCGUUCGUUUUCUCCACGGUUCAAACUCACCUGAAACAGAAAGAUAACGCUCGAAUUAAUUAUGCAAUCCGUGGCAGAGACACGGGGAUCGGUUCGGUUGUUAUCGUAGGAUUACCAAAUUAUUCGCUAUCAAUUACAGAGCGCCGAGAAUUUAUCGUAUCCGCGAUCAAAUAUUAAUCCGUGCGCGGUUUAACAUUCGUUCUUCGUCGUUUUACGUUGGAGGCCCACCGAGAAUAAUUUAGCAUUAAAAUCGAAUGAGCCUCGAUUAUUGGCCUAGGCAACGUUAUACGGGAAUCGUGUUAUCGAAUUUUAAUACAGAUACUUCCAUCGAUUCUUGGUCGCGAUAACGGGAUAAUGAAACGAGAUGUCAAACGGGAUGGAAAUUAAAAGAUUCGUUUAAUUUUUUCAUUGAUCAUUUUGAUCAGUUUAUUAAUAUUAAUAAAGUGGAAUUAAUCGUUUAAUAAUAGAAUAUCACUGUAGAAUAAUCUGAAUUUUAUUUAUGCACUUUGAUUCAUCCUUAAAAAUAAAUCUUAUAAAUAUUUAUAAGAUUUACCACAAGUUGAUAACUAUUAUCCAAUUAUUAUUAUGCAACUAUUCUCUAUCUAACUAUUAAAAAAUAUGAACGUAUGUUCAUGUAGAUAUAAAACUUUAUUUCUUUAUUAUAAAAAGAGUCACAUUUUAAAAGAUAUUUAAUCUUUCGACUACGAACAACGUCUAUAAACAUUCGAAGAAUGUUAUGCAAUAAUAUGCAACACAUACAAGAUGCUUACUUGAUGCAAAUAUGCUUCAAUUUGCAUAUUUUAUUUCUAGCGGUUUCCAUCCAAUCAUUCACUAUACAACUAUUAAAAAAUAUGAAUACAUGAAUAUUCCAAAUAUAUUAAUCUUUUCAGAAAUAUACGCGCACGUUUAAUUUUUUUAAAAAGUAAAAUUAAUUUACGUAAAAAAAAAAAAAUUAAAAUCUAUUGAAAAACUCUUUUCUACGCCAUUUUUUUAAAUAAUAAAAACUCGAAGCAAUAAUUUCAAUAGUAUCUUUGACGUGACGUGAAAAUAUUAUCUCACAUCUAAACAAGAUGGACGAAAUCAAUAAGAAAGUUGCAUUAUCUUCUUGGAUAUUAAUAUCGACGAGUAAUUUUAGGUUAGACGACAUAAUUUACAAUCGACUAUCGUCUCUUUCAAAGGAACACCGCUUCUCAUCCAUCACGAUAUAUUUAAUCAAUCGCAUAAAGAUCGGGCACAGACGGAAUUAAUAAAGGGGGCGAAACCAUUCUGCCAAUAUGCAAGCUACUUUAUGCACGAGAGAGUUUUGAAAUUAGAGCCACCUAUUGAUCCCAGACACGCCAUCUCUCUGAUAAUUUCGAUAUCGCUGGCAUCUGCGCGCAUCUGAGCCUGUGUGCGAGCACAACCGGCUAUGUGUUAGUAAUUCGUGACAAGUUGGAGGAAUUACAGUUUCUCUCGAUUCGCAUCCAAUACCGGACGAUUAUUAUGCAUGACUCUUCUGAGUUAACGGGCGGCAAAUGUAUCGUUGGAUAUCGAAUCCUGUGCUCAGUGCAUAUGAAAUCACGUAAUCUAAAACUAGUUUAGAGACGAGAUAGUUCCAAUAUUAAUGUAGUUAUAAAAGCUUUAAAAUGAAAUUUAACGUAAUCACGCGCACUUGUCCGAAUUCGUGACGAAUCUUAUUUAAUUUAUUUAUUUAUUUAUGAAACUAAUACUAUUAAGCAUCAGCAUAUAAAAUUUAAAGCAAAUUAAAUGAAAAUUGCCACAUUUUCACUUUACAAAUUACAAAUUUACAAAUUAAUUAUUGGAUUUACUUUUAUUUUCUCUCAAACAUACUUUUUAGCUUUUAUUAGAUGACGAAAACAAUUCUCGAGAGUUUUUUUCCUAAAUAUAUUUGAAUUAGAUUAGGUUAUGUUCGAUAAAUUUUUAACUUUCGAGAAAAUUCUAAAAUCCAUUACCACGAAUAUUUUAAAAAUUAACUCGUACAUAAUUUAUUUGUUUUUUUCAUUUUUCCAUAAUUACUACAUUUAUAUCACUCUCGCAAUAAUAUCGAAAAAGAAAAAUAUCACAUACACAGUGCAUCCAUUUGCUACGAAUUACGUAGUAACCACGCAUGCGCAAAGAUCGAAGGAUCAAAGUCGUUAAAUCGGAACGUUACAACAUGUCAAUGAUAUCACAGUCAACUGGCAUUGUUGAUCGUAUAACGAAAUGCAUGGUGUGUUUGGGACGAUUUGCAUCGAGCAUAGUAUAUUUUGCGGAAACAAUAAUUUCCCAUUGUUACGAACAUUAAAUAACCUUGUAACGCAAAUAUCGGUCGAAUAAUGUUCCUGGCAAAUAUCCGCGAUAUUUAAUGACAUCGAAUAAAUUGUUAUUCACUCCGUCCACCAAUUGCUGUUUUGCGGAAAUUUUACGAAUCGUGUUUAUCGCGUGUAAUAUAAACUUGACUUGAUUAUUUUAUGUACCAUCAUUAGUUUUUGUACAGUUUUUGUACAAAGUCUCGAAUAUAUGAAACGUAAGAAAUCAAGAUUUUUAAGAAAUUAUCGUAUUAAAAUUAAUUGUGAGUUUUUUUAACUAAAUAUGAAAAUUUUUUAAAUGUAUAACACGUUAUAAUUGUAUAAACAAUAAAUUGAAGAAUUUAAAUAGAUGGAAUUAAAAUUUUUCGAGUUAUAAACAA
Molecule: long non-coding RNA, 4318 nt
Organism: Apis cerana (Asiatic honeybee)
Lineage: Eukaryota; Metazoa; Arthropoda; Insecta; Hymenoptera; Apidae
Source: RefSeq, a predicted model, not a curated record